This 465-nucleotide ribosomal RNA is filed under the name uncultured Klebsiella sp. Its description in RNAcentral is "bacterial SSU rRNA". It matches the Rfam family "Bacterial small subunit ribosomal RNA", at positions 338 to 795 of the family's 1533-position model. The record is from RNAcentral. Lineage: Bacteria; Pseudomonadati; Pseudomonadota; Gammaproteobacteria; Enterobacterales; Enterobacteriaceae.
CCUACGGGGGGCAGCAGUGGGGAAUAUUGCACAAUGGGCGCAAGCCUGAUGCAGCCAUGCCGCGUGUGUGAAGAAGGCCUUCGGGUUGUAAAGCACUUUCAGCGGGGAGGAAGGCGGUGAGGUUAAUAACCUCAUCGAUUGACGUUACCCGCAGAAGAAGCACCGGCUAACUCCGUGCCAGCAGCCGCGGUAAUACGGAGGGUGCAAGCGUUAAUCGGAAUUACUGGGCGUAAAGCGCACGCAGGCGGUCUGUCAAGUCGGAUGUGAAAUCCCCGGGCUCAACCUGGGAACUGCAUUCGAAACUGGCAGGCUAGAGUCUUGUAGAGGGGGGUAGAAUUCCAGGUGUAGCGGUGAAAUGCGUAGAGAUCUGGAGGAAUACCGGUGGCGAAGGCGGCCCCCUGGACAAAGACUGACGCUCAGGUGCGAAAGCGUGGGGAGCAAACAGGUUUAGAUACCCCGGUAGUC